AAUCAAAGGAGCCACAUUCCUAAGCACAUUUAAGUGGAAAAGCCUUCCAAUUCAACAGAACAUUAAAAACUGCAAAACAAUGAAAUUUUAGGAAGAAAAAGAGAGAGUGAAAUGUUGACGCUAACAACCCUCAACCAGAAUGUGCUUCAUUUGGGUAGGCUAUGAAAGGGUAUAAAAUCACAUUCUAAAACUUUUAAGAAUCCAAAACUAAAAUAAAAGAAACAGUAGACAGCAAAAACUUGAGAAACUUAAUGUUUAUGCUGCACCAGCACCCUUGCCCUUCUUCCUCUGGAGCUUCUUCAUAUAGACCUCCAGCUCCUUACCUUCCAAUAUGUACC
This 338-nucleotide unclassified non-coding RNA is filed under the name Hevea brasiliensis (rubber tree). The record is from RNAcentral. Lineage: Eukaryota; Viridiplantae; Streptophyta; Magnoliopsida; Malpighiales; Euphorbiaceae.